GAGAGCCCACCAACAAUUAGUGAAUACAUAUGAGGUUUCUGAAACAAAAACAAAAGGCCCAAUCAAGAUCAGAGGAUGUGUAUUUCACAAUGCAAAGAUUAUCAACAUCUAAUAUAAACUACAUCAAAGCAAUAUGAGGAAGCUAAAAGGAUCAUUUAUCAUUGGUGGCAAAAGAAAGCAAGCAGAGGAAGAUUAAUGUUAGUAUUUGAAACGUACCUGUCAUUGUCUCAUAAAAUAUUUUAAAACAGAAUUCUUACUUGCAUUACCAGUAGUUAUUUACGUUGUAGAUAGAUAAUGUUUGAAUGUAUUUUAUAUUUGAGGUAAGCAAAAAAAGAGAAAAAAAAAAAACCUACUGGCAAUUUUAUACUA
Long non-coding RNA from Ipomoea nil (Japanese morning glory), 369 nucleotides. RefSeq lists it as uncharacterized. The transcript is spliced from 2 exons. The record is from RefSeq and is a predicted model, not a curated record. Lineage: Eukaryota; Viridiplantae; Streptophyta; Magnoliopsida; Solanales; Convolvulaceae.